CACCUCUCGGUCGCACCUGGAGAGUUUCCAGUACUCUACCAGUCUCGACUACGGGAGGGAGAGUCAAGCAGAGGCCUACCCAUUCCGUUCCUAGCUUGGGCAGUUGCUAGCGCGUGGAAGACAAUCUGCUGAAAGU
Tachyglossus aculeatus (Australian echidna) is the source of this 136-nucleotide small nucleolar RNA. The record is from RefSeq and is a predicted model, not a curated record. NCBI's taxonomy places the organism in Eukaryota, Metazoa, Chordata, Mammalia, Monotremata, Tachyglossidae.